UGGAGCAGGUCAAGAGCUUUAAGUUCCUCGGGGUCCAUAUCAGUAAGGAACUAUCAUGGUCCAAACACAUCAACACAGUUGUGAAGAGGGCACAACGCCUUUUAACCCUCAGGAGGCUGAAAAGAGUUGGUAUCAGAGUCAGAUCCUCAAUUUGUUCUAUAGCUACACCAUUGAGAGCAUCUUGACUGGCUGCAUCACCAACUGGUAUGGCAACUGCUUGGUAUCCGACCACAAGUCGCUACAGAGGGAGGAUGAUGGUGACGGAUAGAUAUGGAUGAUACGCCAACUGUAGUUGCUUUUCUGUGGUAAACAAGUGCUGGUGUAAUCCAUACCUGGACGGCCGCCAAAUGUGUCUGCAGACACCUGCGCCAGCCCUGAUUUUCCCUCCUCCCCUCUCUCCUCCUGCUCUCUUCAGUCUCUUUGUAUGUCAGUUGUUCUAACUGUGAUUGGAUAUGUUUGUGCAUUUAUAUACGUAUUUGUACAUGUUUGUGUAUGUGCAUGUGUGUGCAUAUGUGGGUAUGUGUGUGUGUGUGUGUGUAUGUGUGCAUUGGCUGGUUAGAAUGAGGCAUGUGACUUCCUUGCAGUGUGUGUGCGUGUGACCUCAAGGUCAACCUGCCUUCGGUGUCAAGCGGGAUUUAAAUGUGAUUGAAUUUGAAUUGAAUGCAGGAGAACUCGAUUACCGGUCUCCACUCCACUGUAUUAAUGGCUUGUUGUGACCUCCCAGUCUGUCUGGGACAAGGCAGGCCUAUUGUUAUGUGUUGGCUUGAAUAAAGAGCACAUUUGUUUUGGGUCCUUA
Molecule: long non-coding RNA, 796 nt
Organism: Oncorhynchus masou masou (cherry salmon)
Lineage: Eukaryota; Metazoa; Chordata; Actinopteri; Salmoniformes; Salmonidae
Exons: 3
Source: RefSeq, a predicted model, not a curated record